This 820-nucleotide ribosomal RNA is filed under the name Escherichia coli. RNAcentral's name for it is "partial 23S ribosomal RNA". It matches the Rfam family "Bacterial large subunit ribosomal RNA", at positions 412 to 1230 of the family's 2925-position model. Lineage: Bacteria; Pseudomonadati; Pseudomonadota; Gammaproteobacteria; Enterobacterales; Enterobacteriaceae. The record is from RNAcentral.
GUAGGGCGGGACACGUGGUAUCCUGUCUGAAUAUGGGGGGACCAUCCUCCAAGGCUAAAUACUCCUGACUGACCGAUAGUGAACCAGUACCGUGAGGGAAAGGCGAAAAGAACCCCGGCGAGGGGAGUGAAAAAGAACCUGAAACCGUGUACGUACAAGCAGUGGGAGCACAGAGCAAUCUGUGUGACUGCGUACCUUUUGUAUAAUGGGUCAGCGACUUAUAUUCUGUAGCAAGGUUAACCGAAUAGGGGAGCCGAAGGGAAACCGAGUCUUAACUGGGCGUUAAGUUGCAGGGUAUAGACCCGAAACCCGGUGAUCUAGCCAUGGGCAGGUUGAAGGUUGGGUAACACUAACUGGAGGACCGAACCGACUAAUGUUGAAAAAUUAGCGGAUGACUUGUGGCUGGGGGUGAAAGGCCAAUCAAACCGGGAGAUAGCUGGUUCUCCCCGAAAGCUAUUUAGGUAGCGCCUCGUGAAUUCAUCUCCGGGGGUAGAGCACUGUUUCGGCAAGGGGGUCAUCCCGACUUACCAACCCGAUGCAAACUGCGAAUACCGGAGAAUGUUAUCACGGGAGACACACGGCGGGUGCUAACGUCCGUCGUGAAGAGGGAAACAACCCAGACCGCCAGCUAAGGUCCCAAAGUCAUGGUUAAGUGGGAAACGAUGUGGGAAGGCCCAGACAGCCAGGAUGUUGGCUUAGAAGCAGCCAUCAUUUAAAGAAAGCGUAAUAGCUCACUGGUCGAGUCGGCCUGCGCGGAAGAUGUAACGGGGCUAAACCAUGCACCGAAGCUGCGGCAGCGACGCUUAUGCGUUGUUGGGUA